CUAACACUGCUCUACUUUGACUUUGGAGGAUGCUUUUUGCAUACUAUGAGUUUGGGGAUUGCUGUACAUAUCCAGUUCUCAGCUGACAUCUAGGUUUGCAUCCACUUCUGGCAGUAGCAAAAGUCAUCAGUAAUCAGUCUUGAGGUAGUGUAGGAGCUAAUGUAUUAUUCUCUCAGAAUAUCCUAUAUUUUUCCCCUUUUCCCUGGUCUUGUUUUCCCCUUUUUCAUGAGUGCCAGGUGAGGUUCAUUCAAAACAGAGCACUGAUGAGGGUCCCAGAAACCUGUAGCAGCUGCAGCGGCCCUUUGGCACUUUUGAGGAGGGUAUAAAUAAGGUUUGGAGGGUACAAAUAAAGCUUGAAGGGUACUCUGAUUUGGGCCAGGUAAGAAGUUAUCUGGGAUUGCAGGAAUCCUUAGGGAUUAUCCAGCUAAAUGUCUAGUUAUUUGAGAAAAGCUUUUGUUCUCAUUUAUACCACCAGUUAUAAUUUUGCCUGCCAAAUCCCUUGUUUAAGACUGAAUUUACUAUAAUUUCUAUAUUAGAUCUGUUUUCCAUUUGAAAUCAUAAAGUACCAAAAGCAGUAAUUUUCUUCCCUCUUUUAUUCCAGGCAAUGCUGCAGUCUCUUCCCUGGCCCUCUGAGGAACACCUCAAAGUGCAGUGCUCCACAUCAGGCUUCAUUCAUGACUUCUUUUUUCUUCUAACCAGAGAAUCCCUAAGCUGUAUUUCCUCACUUCCCUUCUCUCAAUAGGCCAUUUUCCUUUCUCACCUUCUCACAUUACUGUCCUGGCAUUCUCUUGCAUGUGAUAUUUAUAUAGUUCUUAGCUGUAAAUGGAUUUCUUCUGGACCUUGAUGGUCUGGGAGUUGCGUUACACUUCAAGGUGACUUUCUUUGUAGUUACAGCUGUGAUCUGUCUGCUGGCAGCAGAGAAGUCCAAGCUCUACCCUGUUAUUGUCAUUUGAUGCAUUUUCCCUCUGGACUAAGGAAAAGAAUUCCCUUGGAACAAAUUGUUAUUCUUGGCCUAAAAUCAUCUGACAGUUUCUGAUGAUCACAUUGUGAUCCACCUCUUUCAUCCAAACACAUGAAGAAAUCAUGUUUCCAGCUUGAAACUGUUAGUGCUUGGUUUUUGGUCUUCUGGGAUUGUCAGGAUCUCGCCUUUGCUUCUGGAAUGAAAUCCUGAUCUAAUCCUGAAAAAGGAGUCCAGAUUAAACUGACGUGUAACUUGCUUGUAAAGCUUUCCCUUUUCACAUGAUAACCUGAUUAGAACUGAGGCAGUGUUUUAUAUUACCCACAUAGAAGAGAUUUAUGCCAGGUUCUUGCCUCAUGGUGUGUUGAUUCAGACUUUUGUGCAGUGUUAGUUAAAUAAACAUGAGUGCAUCUUGAUAUGGUUAUUUGGGCAGUCACUUGAUCCUCUGUUUCAGCAUUAUUAAUACUUCACUAGCAAGGAACCUCUUUCUAAAGACUUGGAGGCUUCAUUUAUUUGGAUAAACAUAUAAUAUUUCACAUCCUUUCCAAAGAGCAGUAAGAAUGUUUUUCUUGGGAAAUGUCUCAUUCUCUUUCUUUAUGGACUGUCCUGAAUGAUGAGGGAAUUACGGCAAGACUCUGCAGAUCAGUCUCAGUUCACUGCAUAAACUUACCUGUGCUAGUGAAGAGGAAGGCUUGGUGUCCUAGGGAUGUUCAUUCUCUCUAGAAAAGAUGGGUUUGCUUUAAAGAUUUAAAGUAAUAUAAUUAAGUUGGUUUAAAGAAAGAAUUUGGUUUUGUACCUUGGAUAAGCGGCAGGCAUUUUAAUUCAGAUCCCUCUGCAACACAAACAUGAUACUUGGAGCAGGGGAAGGAUCAAAACUGCAUUAACGUAAUCCCGAUGAUGUGGAGGAUAGUACAAUUUGUAGCUGAUGACUUCUGAGAGUACUUCUUCACAUUGUGUUGUUUGAUGAACUUAUCUUGUCUCUCAAUUUCUUUAUCUGGACAAUAGACCACAGUGAAGACUAUUUUAGUGGCGUUACUGAAGGUGAGGAACCUGACCUAUGAUGCCUGAAACUUAUCCUUCUGCUGGCAAUAAGGGCAAUUCUGGAUGCUGUUACCCUGCUUUGCAUGCGGUGAGGGGAAUGAGUGUAGAGGGUUUUUUGGACCUGAAAAUGGGGUGUUGUGAUGAAGAUUACUGAUUCCCACAGGAGUGGUGAUGGCACAAGGGAAGUGCAUUCAUGGGCUGCUGAUUCAUGUGCAGCUGUGCAGUAACUUGGACCACCCCUUAGACUGAGUCCCCUGAAAAGCGCUUCUCUUAAGGAGGGCUUAUGUUGCAGCUGAAUCAGUAAGCCAGCCGGUGUCAUAGA
Molecule: long non-coding RNA, 2321 nt
Organism: Pezoporus flaviventris
Lineage: Eukaryota; Metazoa; Chordata; Aves; Psittaciformes; Psittacidae
Exons: 3
Source: RefSeq, a predicted model, not a curated record